Molecule: long non-coding RNA, 4460 nt
Organism: Acinonyx jubatus (cheetah)
Lineage: Eukaryota; Metazoa; Chordata; Mammalia; Carnivora; Felidae
Exons: 4
Source: RefSeq, a predicted model, not a curated record
ACUGCCACCCUUGGGCCACACCUCAGAACGAGGCUUUCAAACCACAGGCCGCGUCCCCUUGCGGUCCCAGGAAGUCAACGUAGCUGAUGCUCGCCAGCAUUCAAAACAAAAAUGCAAAAACAGCGAACAAGCUAACACCAAUGACUAACGAGAAACAGAACAGGAACGACCAGACUCUCCUGCGUGAUUGGAGGCCCUUAUCUGGACUGGGAAGAACAGAACAGAUCCUAGCAUGGAGCUCUGUGGAGUAUGUGCUCGAGAAACGGGAAGGACCCGAGCCCUCACGACAAGGUGAGUAGACGGUGGAGCCAGAUGAAACCCAGGCCAUGCGAUUCCUAAGCAUAACCUCUACCCGUGGAUGUAUUCAGAAGACGGAACAACGGAGCAGCACAAGUUCGUUAAGCUAAACAGACCUGAUAGAAGGCUGGCCCUUCCUGCUACUGAGGAAUCCCAUGGACUAUGAAUACAGCCACCAAAGAACUAAUAGUUGCUAAUUAUCUCCCUCCACUGGCUUUCCUGGUAACCAUUUUUAACUCAGGGUUUCCCUGAUGGGGUAGGAAGCAGUCUGCGGUGGUUUACCAGAGAAGCCCUCGAAUGCCCUCUCACUUGAUAGGCAAAACCCAACCCUAUCUUUGUCCCACGGGUUUCAGGAGCCCCAACGGUGAUAAACGAAGCAACAUGGCGGCGGUGCAGGGGGAAGGUUGGGACGCAGAGGACUCUGGGAGAGACACAAAACGGAUGCUUACAGGACGCGGAUAUGUAGGGGUUUAGGAUGUUGAAGGAGUUCUCAAUUCUGGCUACAGGUUAGAAUCCCCUGGAAAGUUUUUUGGUUUUGUUUUUUUAAGUUUAUUUAUUUAUUUUGAGGUGGGGGGAGGGGUAAAGAGAGAGGGACAGAGAGAAUCCCAAGCAGGUUCUGUGCUGCCAGCUCAGAGCCCGAUGCGGGGCUUGAACACACGAACUGUGAGAUCAUGACUGAGCCGAAAUCAAGAGCUGGAUGCUUAACUGACUGAGCCACCCGGGCAUGCCCACCCCCCCCCCUUUUUUUUUUUAAGUUUUAUUUCUUUAUUUUGAGACAGAGACAGAGAAUCACCUAGAGAGCUUUGUAAAAGCACCGAUGCCUGGGCCGGGCCCCACCCUUCGAGUUUGAUGUUCAGCUGGUCUGGGGAAGGCCCAGGGCAUUGGGAUACUUCUCAAGGUUCCCAAGUGAUUCCAAGGGACAUUGAGGGUUGAGAAGAGGACUACUGCGCUAGGCUAGGAUUUCUCCGCCACAGUGCUGGUGGUAGUUGGGGGCCAGAUCGUCCUGUGUGCUGUAGAAUGUUUAGCAGCAUCCCUGGGCUCUACCCGCUAGAGGCCAGUGACAUCCCCUCCUCCCAGCGAGACAACCAAAAACGUCGGCAGAUAUUACCAAAUGUGAAAUGUCCCCCAAGGGACCAAAUCGCCGCCCCCACCCCACAUCGAAAAUCGCGGUCUUGGCACAGUUCGCUGGGGACUCCACAGGGGGUAUGGUUGGGGGGUGUGGUUGGAAGUUCAGCUCUCUGAAAUAAAAAUCUAAGGAUUGAAAGACCUGCUCAAUGUCCCAUCCUCGGCCUAGAGGUGGGGCCAGUGGUGACUCCAUAACUCUACACUGAAAUGCCUUUCCUCUUGAUUAUAGACGUACAAACUAAAUUGGCCCCGUAAUGAUUUGUGGUCUAUAUACUGAAUACAUAAGCCCAGAGUCAAAAUUGUUUAUCUGACACUAAAGAUCUGUCUCUGAAAGAAACAGAAGACAAAUCAUUCUCUCUCUAAUCGCACUAUGUGUUCCCAGAGGCAGGCCACCUCCCCUCCAUUCCCUGCUGCUGCUGCUGGGAAAACUGUCCAGCUGUAGGCACUCCGACAUCGUUGUCACUAGCCAGUAGUCACAUGUGGCUUGUUCGGUUGAGGCUUACAUUCAUAUAAAUGAAAUAAAAAUAAAAGUUCAGUUUCUCAGUCAUACCAGCCACAUUUCGGUUGCUCAAUAGUCAGGCAUGGCUAGCGGCUACAAGAUCUUAAUCCAGAUAUAGAACAUUCUCAUGUAUCAACGCAGGAAGUUCUAUUGCACGGCACUGUUUGACCAUAGAGCUUACGGUGAAGUUCUCAUGUUUACACGUCUCUGUGACACGUCUCUACAAACAACCGAUGCGUUCUCUGUUGCCCUGUGUAACUUGAAUACCUAGCACACCCUUGUCACCUUUCAUCUUAAGGCAUCGUCCGUAAGUGUGUUUCCUGUGCCUAACGCAGAGCUCCUGAAGGUCAAGGAGCAAGGCUUCAGUCCUCUUUGCAUCACCAAAGGCUGGCACGAUGUAGGCGCCCACAUCGAGAGCGAAAUAAUUAAUCAACUAGCUAAUGAAUGAAGGCGGCUUGACAGACACAUUUAACACCACAGAAGGUCCACCACCCACACCUCUGAAACUGACGGCACGUCUCUGGACUAAGGACAUCUGCCUUUUCUUUUCUGAGCAGAAUGAGCAUAUCUGGUGGCCUGCCAGGGCUGUUUGCUGGCCCAGAAGAGACAUCCGUAGUCACAAAGAGGAAGACAGAAAAGAAAGAGGACAUUUCGUUUUCCCCUAUGAGGAUUUCAUCUCUUCUAUCAGGUAAACAGAACUAUCUCAAGAGGAGGAACAUUUAAAUAGUAAAACAAAACAAAAACAACAACAAAGGAUCCGCUCAGUCGUAUCCUACGCUUCCUUCCUUUUUCCUCGGCACCUGACACGGUGUCCAGCAUGCAGCUGGUGCUCAGUUCACUCACCUCCUCCAGGAAGCCUUCCUUGACUUCUCUCAGCUGGUUUUACCCCUCUUAGGUGAUCUGGAAAUACCAGGUACACCUGCUUCAUCAUGUACGGGCCACACUGUAUUACAUACUAUCUCUUUAACGUCGCUAUGCUUUUCCCGAGGUCAGAAACUAUAUCUUACUGUUCUUUGAGUUUUCAUGGCCUAUUUGAGUAUGUGGCACCGCGAUAAAUCUUUGAUAGAUAAAUAAACCUUGGGCGGUGGGCAAUCCAGGUUUUAAAGAACAGCACUGUUUCUUUGCAAAAGUUAACAGUAUUAGGAAUUUUUAGAAUUUGGAAUGAGGAGUGGGGAAAAAGUUAUGGCUGUGAAUUUCUUUGGAUUAAAAAAAAAACCAAACAAACUCUUUGGCGUUGCUUGGCCUGAAUAAAGCCACAAUAAUCAUUAACUAAUUCUGGAAAGCCGAGACAAUUCUAGCAAAAGAAUCCUUGCCAGGUUCCCUUUAAACCUGUUGAUUUCGAUCCAAUGAAUAAACAUUGAAGACGCAGGGUGAGCCAAGAGAGAAAAAAGAAAAUUCUCCUGCCGCUUAACAUUUCCUGAUUCUAUGACCUUAUGAUUCCGAGCGCCUACAUGAGGUAUUUUUAAACCUUGGCAGUCACGUGGGGCAGAUUUACAGGAAGAACAGAUUUGCAGAGCUUGCGUGGAUUUUUCUCGUCAAAGUUGCGCUGCAAACCGGUGCCACUGGGUCAUUUGCAGAUUCAGGCCACUGGUUUAUGGCUUCACCCCGGGAGUGGACUGGGCAGUCAGGCACCCCCCGGGCAGCUCUCAAGGUGCGAGUUCUUUCUGUUGAACGUUCUGUCCACUCUUCUAGCAGCCAGAUGGUUCAUUGCCCUUCCUUAAGCGCAGGCACAUUCGCAGAAAAGGUGUGAGGAAGGGCCCUGGAGAGCAGAGCCUCUGCUGAGCCCAUGCUGUCCAGAAGUUGGGAUUGUUGCAAGCCUUUUCAGCCACACAAAACCCUGGGUUUCUUCAUUAACAUAUCAGAGGUGGCGCAGUGGUGGGAACUGACAGGGGCAACAAAGGACAGGGCUCGGUGGCAUUAUCUCAUUGGUGCUUACGGAAGCAGAAAAAACGAUCAUCGGGCCGGGGCUGCAGUGAUGGACAGAUGCUGACAUCUUUUCUUGGGUGACCAAUGUCUCCGCGGCCCGCCCCCUCCCUCCACCUGCUCCGUACUCAACAUUGCCCUUCCCCCUCCGAAGGCGCAGUUCCCAGACCCUGUACAAGGAAGAGCCGCGUCCCAAUCCAAACCUCUCUCUGGCUGAAAUGAAGACUUCUUUGGUUCGAAAUGUCAGUAGCGCUGAGGCUGAGAAGCUCUGCUCUGUGGCCUUCUUUGUGAAUACACUUUACAAAUUCUUAUCAAGACUAAUUGCUCCUGACAAAUGGGCACCUUGAGGGACUCGCGUUCCCAUGCUCGCUGUAUGAAUUUAGAAUAUGGAACCGUUUUUGACAAAGAAACAGGACCUACAUGAUGAUUUCUCAUCUUUGGCUGUAUCAUUGGAAGAUUUCAUCGAAGCAGUGGGUGUAAAAUUUUAGAAAAUUGAGCACAGAGGGGUGAAAAUUUUCCUUUAUGCUCAGCUGAGUCUUAAAUAUACUCCAAAUGGCAUGAAAUCUGAUUAAAGGAUCCUUCCUCCUCACUUGGAAAUAUUUAUAACCUCUUAGAA